This 2132-nucleotide unclassified non-coding RNA is filed under the name Stegodyphus dumicola. RNAcentral's name for it is "neprilysin-2-like, transcript variant X4". The record is from RNAcentral. Lineage: Eukaryota; Metazoa; Arthropoda; Arachnida; Araneae; Eresidae.
CAUUCAGCAGCUUUUUUUUUACUUUUCAAGUAGCAAGAUUUACUCUUACAUUUCCAAACCUGCUUAACAGUCCUUACACUUCGUGGCAUAGAAUACUGUAUUUUUUCCUUUGGAAUCCAGCAUUUUCUGUAGCGUCAUAAUUAUAAGGAAAGGUCUGAAAAAUAAACUAUUUAGAAUGCAGUUCUUAAUGAAGAUACUAAUGCUAUCGUUUUUCAUUAAUUCAGGGAAUGCUGAUUUGCAAGCAGCCAUAGAUCGCUCGCUUUCUCUUCUCAAUGUUUCUUCAGAUGUCUGCAUUACCCAUGGAUGUGUGAAAACAGCUGCUGAUAUCUUAUCCAGCUUAGACGAAACUGUGGAUCCUUGCGAUGACUUUCACCAAUUUGCCUGUGGCGGCUGGUUGAAAACACAUCUCGUUUCUGACAAAUCUGAUAUCUUCUCCUUACUUCAAGAUGUCCUCAACCGCAAGUUCUUAAAUCUCUUAGAAAUGGAGCUGACGGGAGAUGAACCUGAUUUCAUUCAAAAGAUAAAAGGAAUGUAUGAAACCUGCAUGGAUCUUGAGAGAAUCAACGUGACGGGCAGCGAACCUCUGAAGAAGGCCCUGACGGAUCUUGGAGGCUGGCCAGUCGUGGAAGGAGAAAACUGGAAUUCCACCUCCUUCACAUGGCUUGAUACUCUCGUUCGGCUUCGCCACAUGGGUUUCAAUCAUAAUAUACUGAUGAAUAUUUCUGUAACUCAAACAGGUCAUAUUAGGAGACCGACUUACAUUAUAAAGCUGGACCACCCACUGUUAGGAACAUCACGUCAUUUCCUGAUGUAUGAAUUAGAUCAUUUCUUCUUAGAAAGCUACUUCAAUUUGAUGGUGGAAACAGCUAAUCGAUUGGGCGCAAAUCUUUCUCACAUAAAUCAAAGUACCUUGAUCGAAGAACUGAAAAAAGUGCUCAGUUUUGAAGCUAAUCUUGCCAUUAUCUCUCUGCAGAGUGAACAAAAUUGGACAAGGAGUAGUCCGUGUCGCAGAUGCACUAUAAAGAAACUUAAGGAUAAUUUCCCACAGAUUGACUGGAUCAGGUUUUUCACUGACUUGCUGAAUCAUGAAGUCACUGAAAACGAACCCUUGAUGAUUAACGAUCUAAAUCUUAUCAUUAGGCUCAUUGAUUUCAUUACAAAGGCAGAUAAAAGGGUAGUCGCUAAUUACAUGCUGUGGAGAGCUGUUCACGAAUCCUUACCCUUGAUGCCUAAAGAUUGGAAUCCUGUGCUUCGGGAACACAUCUCAGCAAUCCCAUUACAUAAUGCGAGAAAGGCUCGUAAAAGACAAUGCCUUUCUACCAUUAGUGAAAAUUUAGGAGUUGCUCUUUCUUCCUACUAUGUGGCGCAGUAUUUCAAAGAAGACAGCAAGAAAGACGUAGAAGAAGUGAUACAGUACAUUAAUACAGAAUUCUUAAAUAUGCUACAAAAUAACGAGUGGAUGGACAACAUAACUAAGGAAAAGGCAAUAGAAAAGGCUGAAGCCAUAACAUAUAAUAUUGGAUAUCCGAAAGAACUGAAGAAUAAUUCUUAUAUUUCUUUCCUGUAUACUAAUGUGACGCUUAACAACGAAAGUUAUUUCGAUAACAUGCUAAAUCUACGCAAAUGGUCAAUGGACAACUCUUUCUCUCUGCUUCGGAAAACUAAGCCAGGAAAUGAGUGGGAGAAAUAUUCAGUAGGAGCUGAUUUUAAGCCUGCUUAUGAUAAAUUCAAGAACACCUUAAAACUUCCCGUAGGACUGUUCCAACGUCCCGUAUUCAACAAUAAUCAUCUUCGCUACCUGAAUUUUGGAGCUAUUGGUUCCCUGAUUGCUCAUGAAAUUACACAUGGAUUUUUUCAUAAAGGGCGUCUGUUUAAUAAAGAUGGCAAAGUGGUGAGCUGGUGGAGCGACGAAACGAAUCGGCGUUACAAUCGGAAGGCCGUGUGUAUCACAGAGCAGUAUAAUAAUUUCACUGCUUUUAAUGGAAGUACCCAGUGACAAUACAGUCACCGAAAGUAUAGCUGAUCAUGGAGGCCUGAAAGCAGCUUACCUGGCCUACAAGUCGUGGGUAGGAAAUCAUACCCAAGAACUAAAGUUACCGGGAUUGAAUUAUACACCGAAUCAGUUGUUCUUU